UAGGGAAUCUUCCACAAUGGACGCAAGUCUGAUGGAGCAACGCCGCGUGAGUGAAGAAGGUUUUCGGAUCGUAAAGCUCUGUUGUUGGUGAAGAAGGAUAGAGGCAGUAACUGGUCUUUAUUUGACGGUAAUCAACCAGAAAGUCACGGCUAACUACGUGCCAGCAGCCGCGGUAAUACGUAGGUGGCAAGCGUUGUCCGGAUUUAUUGGGCGUAAAGCGAGCGCAGGCGGAAUGAUAAGUCUGAUGUGAAAGCCCACGGCUCAACCGUGGAACUGCAUCGGAAACUGUCAUUCUUGAGUGCAGAAGAGGAGAGUGGAACUCCAUGUGUAGCGGUGGAAUGCGUAGAUAUAUGGAAGAACACCAGUGGCGAAGGCGGCUCUCUGGUCUGCAACUGACGCUGAGGCUCGAAAGCAUGGGUAGCGAACAGGAUUAGAUACCCUGGUAGUCCAUGCCGUAAACGAUGAGCGCUAGGUGUUGGGGACUUUCCGGUCCUCAGUGCCGCAGCAAACGCAUUAAGCGCUCCGCCUGGGGAAUACGACCGCAAGGUUGAAAC
RNAcentral lists this ribosomal RNA (554 nucleotides) under uncultured bacterium. RNAcentral describes it as "partial 16S ribosomal RNA". It matches the Rfam family "Bacterial small subunit ribosomal RNA", at positions 355 to 900 of the family's 1533-position model. The record is from RNAcentral.